UUGGGGAUGAGGACUUCAACAUAUGAAUUUUGAAGGGACACAGACAUUCAAUCCAUAACAACUACCAAGGCUGAGACUUCCAAGAAACAGGAAUUAAGUUUCCCUCAAUAGAUGUCUUCUCUCCUUCCUGAAAUUACAAAAGGUCUCCUGCUUCCUGUAUCUCAUGGAGCCCAUGUAUGGCUCUGCCCUGGUUGAGCUAUUGUGGUCUCUUGCCUGACUGCUGGCUGGAAGAACUCCUCCCAAGUUCUGAGCUCCAGGAAGCUUUCUGCCUACUCUCCGAAGCCAAGUGGUUUAAGGGCCCCCCCACUGAGUUUACCACUAUCAUUACUCAUUGUAUUGAAAUGACCUGUGUCUCUGUCUGCCUCCCCCUCAAAACCAAGUUCAAGGAGGGCAGGGGUCAUGUGUUAUUCAUCUUUGUAUUACCAGCAUUUAAUGCUGUGUCUAAUAAGUGCUAAGCAUGCAAUAAAUGUUGAAGAGAGAAAGAGAUGAGAAGGAGGAAGAGGAGGA
This is a long non-coding RNA of Rhinolophus ferrumequinum (greater horseshoe bat), 507 nucleotides long. RefSeq lists it as uncharacterized. The record is from RefSeq and is a predicted model, not a curated record. Lineage: Eukaryota; Metazoa; Chordata; Mammalia; Chiroptera; Rhinolophidae. The transcript is spliced from 3 exons.